CUACCACACCCUUAAUAACUGUAAAUUCACAUUAAUCUCAUGCUACCACUGUUGUUCAUGCUUUCCUUUAGUCACCAUUGCAUAUCCUCCGCCUAGACCGAAGUAUUUUCCUGUGGUGCAGACAACAGUGUGCACAAUAAGUUGGAGACCUGAUCAUGACCUCUGAAAAAUACUGUAUUACAAACAAAUAUAUAUACAUACAUACACAGUAGGAAAAAAAUAGUAGCAUAAUAGUGGAAGGACGAUUAAAAAGAAGAUUUUGUCAGAGCCUGGAGUGCACUAGUAGGCUAUAAUGACCCUCACCUAGAUUGUGAUGAGCCUCACCUGGGCCCCCACUCGUGGGCCAUAGGUCCAUUAAGCCCUUGCCUGGGGCCUCAGGAUCUUUCCUGAGCUGUGCUGGAUGUGGACCUGUUCCUGAGUUAUUUGUAUUUUUCUGUUUUGACUGCAGACCUAGUCUUAUUCUAUUCUGCUUUGAUCUGAUGACUGCUGGAGACCCUGUAGGACUUGCCACUGCUCUGCUCAACCAGCUCCUGUGCUGUGGGACUGUGCUCUGUUGAAUGUGGACUUCAUCCCACAAUCUUACACUGAAGAAAAAAUGAGCUACAAAGAAUAAUGAUCCAUGAAUUCUAGAGAGCGACACAGUAAGUAUGGGUGAAUAAUUUGGAAAAAAAAAGAAAAAAGGGAAAAAAAAAACUCACUAUUAACUACCUGUACUUUACAUUCUUUGAUCUAGUUUGAAAGUUUGACUUAUUCUUUGAGUCUGAUGUUGCAGUUAUUACACACACAAAACUCCAUUAGAAAAGUGCUUUUUUAAAGGACAGCAAGAUGCCGAUUGCUCUGAAAUUAACAGAAUAUAAAAAUAAUCCUAUCUUUUGAUGUACUCGUGAUAUACUGUUUCAUGUAACAGGUAUUCUUUCAAAGAUAGAGUUCACAUAGAAAAUAUGUAUUCAUAGGAUAAAUGAAUAUCAUGGAACUAUAGCAAUAUACUUCUAAUGGGGAUCUGAUUCAGCUCUUUGUGAAUACUCACUUAGCAAUUAAUCAAAAAAUGUAAGUAGAGAAGUCAUCUGUUGUGCAGUAAAUCAUUUACUCAUAACAGUUACUAGUACAAAAAAACAACCCAAAAUUCUGAGUUAUCUCAGUGAUUCUAGAAUAAAUACUGUAUCAUUGCACCUGAAAUUUUGCUG
Molecule: long non-coding RNA, 1184 nt
Filed under: Anas platyrhynchos platyrhynchos (common mallard)
Lineage: Eukaryota; Metazoa; Chordata; Aves; Anseriformes; Anatidae
Description: lncRNA (ENSAPLG00000017415.1)
Source: RNAcentral